GAGGGGAUAGCUCAAAUGGUAGAGCACAUGCUUAGCAAGCAGGAGGUCCUGGGUUCAAUCCCCAGUACCUCCU
Molecule: transfer RNA, 73 nt
Filed under: Camelus ferus (Wild Bactrian camel)
Lineage: Eukaryota; Metazoa; Chordata; Mammalia; Artiodactyla; Camelidae
Rfam family: tRNA
About the family: Transfer RNA (tRNA) molecules are approximately 80 nucleotides in length. Their secondary structure includes four short double-helical elements and three loops (D, anti-codon, and T loops). Further hydrogen bonds mediate the characteristic L-shaped molecular structure. tRNAs have two regions of fundamental functional importance: the anti-codon, which is responsible for specific mRNA codon recognition, and the 3' end, to which the tRNAs corresponding amino acid is attached (by aminoacyl-tRNA synthetases). tRNAs cope with the degeneracy of the genetic code in two manners: having more than one tRNA (with a specific anti-codon) for a particular amino acid; and 'wobble' base-pairing, i.e. permitting non-standard base-pairing at the 3rd anti-codon position.
Source: Rfam by way of RNAcentral